ACCAAGUCUCAAGAGUGAACACGUAAUUCAUUACGAAGUUUAAUUCAUUGAGCAUCAAACUUUUAAAUUGAAGAGUUUGAUCAUGGCUCAGAUUGAACGCUGGCGGCAGGCCUAACACAUGCAAGUCGAACGGUAACAGGAAGCAGCUUGCUGCUUUGCUGACGAGUGGCGGACGGGUGAGUAAUGUCUGGGAAACUGCCUGAUGGAGGGGGAUAACUACUGGAAACGGUGGCUAAUACCGCAUAACGUCGCAAGACCAAAGAGGGGGACCUUCGGGCCUCUUGCCAUCAGAUGUGCCCAGAUGGGAUUAGCUUGUUGGUGAGGUAACGGCUCACCAAGGCGACGAUCCCUAGCUGGUCUGAGAGGAUGACCAGCCACACUGGAACUGAGACACGGUCCAGACUCCUACGGGAGGCAGCAGUGGGGAAUAUUGCACAAUGGGCGCAAGCCUGAUGCAGCCAUGCCGCGUGUAUGAAGAAGGCCUUCGGGUUGUAAAGUACUUUCAGCGGGGAGGAAGGUGUUGUGGUUAAUAACCGCAGCAAUUGACGUUACCCGCAGAAGAAGCACCGGCUAACUCCGUGCCAGCAGCCGCGGUAAUACGGAGGGUGCAAGCGUUAAUCGGAAUUACUGGGCGUAAAGCGCACGCAGGCGGUCUGUCAAGUCGGAUGUGAAAUCCCCGGGCUCAACCUGGGAACUGCAUUCGAAACUGGCAGGCUUGAGUCUUGUAGAGGGGGGUAGAAUUCCAGGUGUAGCGGUGAAAUGCGUAGAGAUCUGGAGGAAUACCGGUGGCGAAGGCGGCCCCCUGGACAAAGACUGACGCUCAGGUGCGAAAGCGUGGGGAGCAAACAGGAUUAGAUACCCUGGUAGUCCACGCCGUAAACGAUGUCUACUUGGAGGUUGUGCCCUUGAGGCGUGGCUUCCGGAGCUAACGCGUUAAGUAGACCGCCUGGGGAGUACGGCCGCAAGGUUAAAACUCAAAUGAAUUGACGGGGGCCCGCACAAGCGGUGGAGCAUGUGGUUUAAUUCGAUGCAACGCGAAGAACCUUACCUGGUCUUGACAUCCACGGAAGUUUUCAGAGAUGAGAAUGUGCCUUCGGGAACCGUGAGACAGGUGCUGCAUGGCUGUCGUCAGCUCGUGUUGUGAAAUGUUGGGUUAAGUCCCGCAACGAGCGCAACCCUUAUCCUUUGUUGCCAGCGGUCCGGCCGGGAACUCAAAGGAGACUGCCAGUGAUAAACUGGAGGAAGGUGGGGAUGACGUCAAGUCAUCAUGGCCCUUACGACCAGGGCUACACACGUGCUACAAUGGCGCAUACAAAGAGAAGCGACCUCGCGAGAGCAAGCGGACCUCAUAAAGUGCGUCGUAGUCCGGAUUGGAGUCUGCAACUCGACUCCAUGAAGUCGGAAUCGCUAGUAAUCGUGGAUCAGAAUGCCACGGUGAAUACGUUCCCGGGCCUUGUACACACCGCCCGUCACACCAUGGGAGUGGGUUGCAAAAGAAGUAGGUAGCUUAACCUUCGGGAGGGCGCUUACCACUUUGUGAUUCAUGACUGGGGUGAAGUCGUAACAAGGUAACCGUAGGGGAACCUGCGGUUGGAUCACCUCCUUACCUUAAAGAAGCGUACUUUGCAGUGCUCACACAGAUUGUCUGAUGAAAA
RNAcentral lists this ribosomal RNA (1655 nucleotides) under Salmonella enterica subsp. enterica serovar Paratyphi A. RNAcentral's name for it is "bacterial SSU rRNA". It matches the Rfam family "Bacterial small subunit ribosomal RNA". Lineage: Bacteria; Pseudomonadati; Pseudomonadota; Gammaproteobacteria; Enterobacterales; Enterobacteriaceae. The record is from RNAcentral.